This 488-nucleotide ribosomal RNA is filed under the name uncultured bacterium. RNAcentral describes it as "bacterial SSU rRNA". It matches the Rfam family "Bacterial small subunit ribosomal RNA", at positions 27 to 507 of the family's 1533-position model. The record is from RNAcentral.
GGACGAACGCUGGCGGCGUGGAUUAGGCAUGCAAGUCGAACGGUAUCAUCCUUUCGGGGGUGAGAGAGUGGCGAACUGGUGAGUAACACGUAGGAAUCUACCCUUAAGACGGGACAACCCAGGGAAACUUGGGCUAAUACCGGAUGAGAGUGCGAGAGAUUGCAUUUAAAAGGAUGGCGAAAGUUGUCGCUUAGGGAUGAGCCUGCGGUCUAUUAGUUAGUUGGUGAGGUAAGAGCUCACCAAGGCGAUGAUAGAUAGGCGGCCUUAACGGGUGGUCGCCCACACUGGGAUUGAGAUACGGCCCAGACUCCUACGGGAGGCAGCAGUCGAGAAUAGUCUACAAUGGCCGGAAGGCUGAUAGUGCGACGCCGCGUGAACGAGGGAGCCCUUCGGGGUGUAAAGUUCUUUUCUAUACGAGCAGUGCUAUAUAUAUGGAUAGUAUAUAUAGAGGGAUAGUAGUAUAGGAAUAAGCAACGGCUAACUCCGUG